This is a long non-coding RNA of Camelus dromedarius (Arabian camel), 937 nucleotides long. RefSeq lists it as uncharacterized. NCBI's taxonomy places the organism in Eukaryota, Metazoa, Chordata, Mammalia, Artiodactyla, Camelidae. The record is from RefSeq and is a predicted model, not a curated record. The transcript has 3 exons.
ACAAGGGCGGAGGCGCGGAGCCUGCGCGGCUCGAGGCUAGGGAUGGGCGGGACAUGUUAAUUCCCCAGAUGUCGGAACCAGCCCGACCGGUCCCAGAGCUGGGUUGCGGGGAGAAGGGGAGAGACCUGUGCGUUCGUUUCAGAUUCUCUGUGGCCAAUGCGCGUUCCCAGGCCCCCGAUCCCCGAGGGAGUGGUAAGGAAUUUCGAACUGGAAGCAUAAAUGAUGCAUUCUGGGCGUGGUUUGCAUGAGAAGGAAGAUGAGGACCUUCAAGCAUAAGACAUCACUCAGAUUCCUGGCCUCAUCUCAAAACAGAAUCCUGAAGGUCAAUGAUGACUUCGGUAAAGAAGCUCUGGAGAAUUCUUGGAAGUUAACCACUCAGCAGGGGAAGGAGGGAUGCUCCAGGCAGAAGACUAUCCAUGUCUUAAUGCGUGGUGGCAGGAGAGGGUAUACUCAGCUGAGCGACUGAAGGAGGUCACUGUGGCAAAGCAGAGGGUGCCCAGGCAUCGUGGAAUGCGAUGGGGCUGAGGACAGUGUUGGAACUGGAUCAGGAAGGGCCUCAUAGGCACGGUGGAGGGCUUUGCCUCCAUCCGGAGAUAGAUUGUCAACAGAGUUUUUCAGGUGUGUGUGUGUUUCUCUGCAUGUGUGUGUGUGUGUGUGAACAUGAAGGUUGUGUGUGUGCUGGUGGUGAGGGUGUCAUGCUAUUUGAGUGGCCUGGCACGAUCAGGUUUGCUUUUAUACUCUACACUUUAUUUCAUCAUUUCUUAAUUUUACCAACAGACUACAGUCCUUUAUAACAGUUUCUUCACACGGCAAGAGUAGUUGGAGUUGAAUAUAAAGUGCUUUUACAUUUAGAUUGAGGAAAAGACAAAUGUGGCAUCAUAAAUAAAGAAAAUAUUAAAGCAGUAAAUACAAAACCACAAUCACAAGUAUUGCAUGU